RNAcentral lists this ribosomal RNA (253 nucleotides) under uncultured bacterium. Its description in RNAcentral is "partial 16S ribosomal RNA". It matches the Rfam family "Bacterial small subunit ribosomal RNA", at positions 524 to 776 of the family's 1533-position model. The record is from RNAcentral.
UACGUAGGGUGCGAGCGUUAAUCGGAAUUACUGGGCGUAAAGCGUGCGCAGGCGGUUUUGUAAGUCAGAUGUGAAAUCCCCGGGCUUAACCUGGGAACUGCGUUUGAAACUACAAGGCUAGAGUGUGGCAGAGGGGGGUGGAAUUCCACGUGUAGCAUUGAAAUGCGUAGAGAUGUGGAGGAACACCGAUGGCGAAGGCAGCCCCCUGGGUUAACACUGACGCUCAGGCACGAAAGCGUGGGGAGCAAACAGG